AUGGUCAUAUAAUGUUGAAACACCGGUUCCUGUACGAUCACCGGAGUUAAGCAACGUUGAGCCUGGUUAGUACCAAGAUGAAUGACAGUUUAGGAAAACUAAGUGCGGUAA
Molecule: non-coding RNA, 111 nt
Organism: Acanthosepion pharaonis
Lineage: Eukaryota; Metazoa; Mollusca; Cephalopoda; Sepiida; Sepiidae
Source: the annotation of a GenBank genome assembly